This is a non-coding RNA of Pelobates cultripes (western spadefoot toad), 213 nucleotides long. The record is from the annotation of a GenBank genome assembly. NCBI's taxonomy places the organism in Eukaryota, Metazoa, Chordata, Amphibia, Anura, Pelobatidae.
CUUACAGUAACAAAUGCACUGUCCUUUGUGGGGCAGACUCCCAGAUCAAAUCCAGUCUCCUGGUCAAGGUUACUGGUGGUCUCCUCAAUAGGCACUGUGAGGGAGGAAUUAGUAACUCUGGUUGUUGUCUCCGGUGAGUCUGUUUCUGCUUCGUGGCUGGACAGACUUUGCUUGAGACACUCUCUGACCAAACUUGUACCCUCCUGAACGGUG